This 253-nucleotide ribosomal RNA is filed under the name uncultured bacterium. RNAcentral's name for it is "partial 16S ribosomal RNA". It matches the Rfam family "Bacterial small subunit ribosomal RNA", at positions 524 to 776 of the family's 1533-position model. The record is from RNAcentral.
UACGUAGGGUGCGAGCGUUAAUCGGAAUUACUGGGCGUAAAGCGUGCGCAGGCGGUUUUGUAAGCCAGAUGUGAAAUCCCCGGGCUUAACCUGGGAAUGGCAUUUGGGACUGCAAGGCUGGAGUGUGGCAGAGGAGAGUGGAAUUCCCGGUGUAGCGGUGAAAUGCGCAGAUAUCAGGAAGAACACCCGUGGCGAAGGCGGGUCUCUGGGCCGAUACUGACGCUGAGGAGCGAAAGCGUGGGGAGCAAACAGG